RNAcentral lists this long non-coding RNA (326 nucleotides) under Prunus persica (peach). RNAcentral describes it as "long non-coding RNA (PPER_LNC002463)". The record is from RNAcentral. Lineage: Eukaryota; Viridiplantae; Streptophyta; Magnoliopsida; Rosales; Rosaceae.
AAACAAAACGUUCGAAGGAUCAUUUUCGAUUAUUUAUUCUGCCUUCGGCAACUAAAAUAAUAUGGUAGGGACCACCAUUAGUUAUUUACCGUUGGUCAGAUUACUAUAGUCAUUUUCUCGGCCUUCGGUGAUUAAAACAUUUACCGAUAGAAGUUUCACUUGAAAUAUUCAGCUUUUAUCUUAAGCCCUCGGCAAUAUGAUAAUUAGUAUAAGCUUUAGGUAUUUAUUCAUGCCAUUAUAAUUAUGUCUUAUUUCCGUUUUAUCAAGACCCAGCCCUUGUUAGCCUUCGGCAAUAACGAGAAGAUCGGUAAGAUUCAUUCAAAACC